UGGGGAAUAUUGCGCAAUGGGGGGAACCCUGACGCAGCCAUGCCGCGUGAAUGAAGAAGGCCUUCGGGUUGUAAAGUUCUUUCGGUAUUGAGGAAGGUUGAUGUGUUAAUAGCACAUCAAAUUGACGUUAAAUACAGAAGAAGCACCGGCUAACUCCGUGCCAGCAGCCGCGGUAAUACGGAGGGUGCGAGCGUUAAUCGGAAUAACUGGGCGUAAAGGGCACGCAGGCGGUUAUUUAAGUGAGGUGUGAAAGCCCUGGGCUUAACCUAGGAAUUGCAUUUCAGACUGGGUAACUAGAGUACUUUAGGGAGGGGUAGAAUUCCACGUGUAGCGGUGAAAUGCGUAGAGAUGUGGAGGAAUACCGAAGGCGAAGGCAGCCCCUUGGGAAUGUACUGACGCUCAUGUGCGAAAGCGUGGGGAGCAAACAGGAUUAGAUACCCUGGUAGUCCACGCUGUAAACGCUGUCGAUUUGGGGGUUGGGGUUUAACUCGGGCGCCCGUAGCUAACGUGAUAAAUCGACCGCCUGGGGAGUACGGCCGCAAGGUUA
Molecule: ribosomal RNA, 547 nt
Filed under: uncultured bacterium
Lineage: Bacteria
Description: bacterial SSU rRNA
Rfam family: Bacterial small subunit ribosomal RNA
Source: RNAcentral